Molecule: non-coding RNA, 761 nt
Organism: Pelobates cultripes (western spadefoot toad)
Lineage: Eukaryota; Metazoa; Chordata; Amphibia; Anura; Pelobatidae
Source: the annotation of a GenBank genome assembly
UAUGCUUGUAAGAAAAACAAAAAAGAAAGAAAAACCAACACUACAAAAGGGUAGAUUGGGUGGGGCAAUGACAACCACAGUAAUUAUAAUCACUUAAAAAGUUUAAAGCCAACAUCAGCCCCUUCUCCCCAGAAAAUUCACAAAUACACCCCCUACACAGCCAUCUUUAUCUCUAAUUUGCUGUUAAAUUCAGCAGUACUAUAAUAAGAUGUCCUCACUACCCUCCAUGCAUUACAAUACAUAUUAAGCAGAGCCAGGGUGCUUUACACCUUUAGUGUUCUACACAAAGUACUUCACAGAAUUACAAUGUAUAGAAAGAAUACACAGAAUACACUGUACAUGACAAUAUUUUGGUAAAGAGGAUUUUUCUAGUUACUUCAAAGUCAAAAAAGAAAGAAUUCCCACACCUAAACCACAUCUUAGUAGAAUAAAAUAGGUUUUAUUUUACUUAAACUCCACUACUUUUCCCCUUUUGCCAAAAUAAAAGUUAAACCAACAUACUUCUUCAGUAAUCCCUAAGCAACAUGAAAACUUCAAAAUAUGGCUGAGGAUUUAGAAAGAUAUCCUACAUUAAAAGGGACACUAGGCGCCAGACCACUUAAUCUCAUUGCAGUGUCUGGUUUCAGUGUCCGUGUUACCGUUUUAAAGAAACCGCAGUGUUAAGACUGCCUCUAAUGCUGGUCUACCAGACAGCCCAGCAGGUUGAAAAACAUUGAGGCAGAGCUGGGGGAAGGCCUAAUGAGAGCAUGCCCAACAUCAGA